GAGGGUAUAGCUCAGUGGUAGAGUGCAUGCCUAGCAUACAGAAGGUCCUGGGUUCAAGCCCCAGUAUUUCCA
This 72-nucleotide transfer RNA is filed under the name Camelus bactrianus (Bactrian camel). It matches the Rfam family "tRNA". From Rfam's summary of the family: Transfer RNA (tRNA) molecules are approximately 80 nucleotides in length. Their secondary structure includes four short double-helical elements and three loops (D, anti-codon, and T loops). The record is from Rfam by way of RNAcentral. Lineage: Eukaryota; Metazoa; Chordata; Mammalia; Artiodactyla; Camelidae. RNAcentral also lists the same sequence under 2 other names.